Molecule: long non-coding RNA, 722 nt
Filed under: Populus tremula
Lineage: Eukaryota; Viridiplantae; Streptophyta; Magnoliopsida; Malpighiales; Salicaceae
Description: long non-coding RNA (PTRE_LNC000888)
Source: RNAcentral
CCUAGCUUCUCCUUUCAUCCCCUUCCCCUUCCAGAUCUUCUUCGUUUUCAUUUCUUCUCUCUUCUCGUUCACAUUUUCUUCAAGAACAGCAACCGACAAAGCCUUCAAUUCCUCGACAUUUGUGCCAAUUAAAUUCCCCGUCACCUUCCCCUCCUCCUCUUGUGCCCUGGCCUCUCCUUUCUUCUUCCCCGUCCUCUUCCAGCUCUUCUUCUUCGUUUUCAUUUCUUCUCUCUUGUCAUUCACAUUUUCUUCAAGAAAAGAAACCAACACAGCCUUCGAUUCCUCGACAUUUGUGCCAAUUAAAUUCCCCGUCAACUUCCCCUCCUCCUCUUGUGCCCUGGCCUCUCCUUUCUUCUUCCCCGUCCUCUUCCAGCUCUUCUUCUUCGUUUUCAUUUCUUCUCUCUUGUCAUUCACAUUUUCUUCAAGAAAAGCAACCAACACAGUCUUCGAUUCCUCGACAUUUGUGCCAAUUAAAUUCCCCGUCACCUCCCCCUCCUCUUGUGCCCUGGCUUCUCCUUUCUUCUUCUUCUUCCUCUCAUUCCCCUUGCUCCUCUUCUUCGUUUUCAUUUCUUCUCUCUUCUCAUCCACGUUUUCUUCAAGAUCAGCAACCGACACAGCCUUCGAUUCCUCGACAUUUGUGCCAACUAAACUCCAGCGGUGAGAUUCCCGGUUGGAAUUUCUUCGAAUUGAUGGAGGAGACACAGACACUGAAGGUGACAGGU